This 465-nucleotide ribosomal RNA is filed under the name Vreelandella stevensii. RNAcentral describes it as "partial 16S ribosomal RNA". It matches the Rfam family "Bacterial small subunit ribosomal RNA", at positions 338 to 795 of the family's 1533-position model. The record is from RNAcentral. Lineage: Bacteria; Pseudomonadati; Pseudomonadota; Gammaproteobacteria; Oceanospirillales; Halomonadaceae.
CCUACGGGGGGCAGCAGUGGGGAAUAUUGGACAAUGGGGGCAACCCUGAUCCAGCCAUGCCGCGUGUGUGAAGAAGGCCCUCGGGUUGUAAAGCACUUUCAGUGAGGAAGAACGCCUGGUGGUUAAUACCCAUCAGGAAAGACAUCACUCACAGAAGAAGCACCGGCUAACUCCGUGCCAGCAGCCGCGGUAAUACGGAGGGUGCGAGCGUUAAUCGGAAUUACUGGGCGUAAAGCGCGCGUAGGUGGCUUGAUAAGCCGGUUGUGAAAGCCCCGGGCUCAACCUGGGAACGGCAUCCGGAACUGUCAAGCUAGAGUGCAGGAGAGGAAGGUAGAAUUCCCGGUGUAGCGGUGAAAUGCGUAGAGAUCGGGAGGAAUACCAGUGGCGAAGGCGGCCUUCAGGACUGACACUGACACUGAGGUGCGAAAGCGUGGGUAGCAAACAGGAUUAGAUACCCUUGUAGUC